RNAcentral lists this ribosomal RNA (236 nucleotides) under uncultured bacterium. RNAcentral describes it as "partial small subunit ribosomal RNA". It matches the Rfam family "Bacterial small subunit ribosomal RNA", at positions 26 to 285 of the family's 1533-position model. The record is from RNAcentral.
AGGAUAAACGCUGGCGGCGUGCCUAACACAUGCAAGUCGAACGUCCUACGCAAGUAGGGAGUGGCGGACGGGUGAGUAACACGUGAAUAAUCUACCUCCGAGUGGGGAAUAACUGAGAGAAAUCUUAGCUAAUACCGCAUAACACUUACGAGUCAAAGCAGCAAUGCGCUUGGAGAGGAGUUCGCGGCCGAUUAGUUAGUUGGCGGGGUAAUGGCCCACCAAGACGAUGAUCGGUA